CUACUACGAAAUUAAAGCACUACUAGAAAAUUGAUCAUUUGGAAUGGAUUUUUGGGACGAAAUGAAUUUUGUCUAAAGUAAAAUUGCACUUUCAGACAGAUUUUGGACAAAUUUCAAAUUUGUCUGACGAAACGCACAUUGUUGAUUAUUUUAUAAUUUUUUCACGAUUUCCGUCCCAAAUCUGUGUGAAAUAUUGGGACGGCUUUGGGACGGGUCCAUAAUUUUGUGCAUUGUUACCAUUUCUAACCAGUUCCGUCCGAAAUUCGUGUGAAAUGUUGAGAUAGAUUUGAGACGGAUCUAUUAUAAAAAUUAAAAUGUACUCCAUCAUAACCCUAAUUACUUUUCUGUGUAUAUACCUUCCGCCGUUUCAUUUUUUGCCUUCACUUUUGCUUGACUUCUUCUCUGUAACACAUGCCUCUGUUUGAGAUGGUGCUUCGAGCGUGACGUGUUGGUGACAAAGAACCGAAACCCUUCUAGUUCAAUUUCGCCCAUGUCCCUCAAGAAGAUACCUCUCCCGUCGUUACUUUCUCCCAUCGAGAAAACAUAGAGCCACUAUCAAGAUAGAUUCACUUGUUGUUACAUCUCUUCAACUUGUGUUGAGUUGGAUCUGAUCUAAUUCCCCCAAAUAUGGAACCCUAAUUCAGUAAUUUGUAUUUAACCAAAUCUUUGGCUCACAUGAUACAACAGUAUAUCUCUGAUUUGUUUUAUUUCAAUUGCAGAAAUGAAACUAAAAAGUUAAAAGUUUGCUUUCAGUGUGGCAGACGUUCCUGGGUGUGAUUAAUGCAGAUGCUUCUUUAAGUUUGAUGUAUUUUAUAGGGUGGUAUCUGGUCUUGGUUUUGAGCAUGAUAGUAGUGUUGUUUUCAAUUGGCAAAUGCAAGUUAUGUAGGCUGGUUUUGAGCAUGCUAUAGUAGUGUUCUUGAGGAUCUUGAAAUACUUCAAUUGAUACAUAAUAGAUAUUAUGGCUUUGUUUAAAUAUCACUGUCUUUAAUUAAGUUUGAUGUAUGUUUAGGGAAGAAUGAUGCAUGCUUUGAUUAUAAUAGAAUGAUGUAUUUUAUUGAUGUAUUUUUAAGCUCAGAUUAUCAUGAUAACAUUUUAAAUUAAUUAGAAGAUUACCAGCUAAUUAUUUGCUAUAGUGGCAUCUUAAAUUACUUAUGCAGGCAGCAUGGUUUGAGAGUUGAGACAUAUAUCCUUCUCUAAUCUCUUUGUUGUUUCCCCUGUUUUCAUUGAACUUUUCAUUCUAUUAAUAUUUGAUAAGAAAUUUCUUUUGGACUUGUUUAAGUUAGCAUUUACUAAUGUCUUUUUGAAAUGGUUUCAGAGUGUUGUAUAAACAAGUAUAACUAGAAGAAUAUGAAAGAGUUGCUUCUCUACUUGAUGAGGAGAGGAAGAGUAUGCUACUUCUAGUUGAUGAGAAGGUCAAGCCUAUGUUGUUUCAAGUUGGCAAAUGGAUAUGCAAAUUGAAGCAUGACAAUGUGCAAAGGCUACUUGAACAAGUUUUGAUGCGGAUGAGAAACAAGUUUUAUUGGGACCCUUGCAUUUUAUCAUAUGUAAAUGUAUUUUAGUGACAAUAUUUGUAGAGUUCAUUAUUUACUUGAGCUGAAAAUAGUUGUACAUUGACGUGAUUUUGUAACAUUUGAAUGAAAUAAUUUAUGUGUCUUGGUUUAUUUCAAAAUGCAA
Molecule: long non-coding RNA, 1674 nt
Organism: Trifolium pratense (red clover)
Lineage: Eukaryota; Viridiplantae; Streptophyta; Magnoliopsida; Fabales; Fabaceae
Exons: 4
Source: RefSeq, a predicted model, not a curated record